Long non-coding RNA from Alosa sapidissima (American shad), 131 nucleotides. RefSeq lists it as uncharacterized. Lineage: Eukaryota; Metazoa; Chordata; Actinopteri; Clupeiformes; Clupeidae. The transcript has 3 exons. The record is from RefSeq and is a predicted model, not a curated record.
GGGAUGUUCUCCAAUGUAAUGCAGUCGCCUUCAUCAUCAGAUUUAGCUCAUCUGCAAUCCGCUGUGCUUUGUCCAUCUCCAUUCCAAUUGUAAACAAACACCAUGCUGGUUCAGUAACGGUACGGUUCCAC